GCAGUCGAGCGGACAGAUGGGAGCUUGCUCCCUGACGUUAGCGGCGGACGGGUGAGUAACACGUGGGCAACCUGCCCCUUAGACUGGGAUAACUCCGGGAAACCGGAGCUAAUACCGGAUAAUCCCUUUCUCCACCUGGAGAGAGGGUGAAAGAUGGCUUCGGCUAUCACUAGGGGAUGGGCCCGCGGCGCAUUAGCUAGUUGGUGAGGUAACGGCUUACCAAGGCGACGAUGCGUAGCCGACCUGAGAGGGUGAUCGGCCACACUGGGACUGAGACACGGCCCAGACUCCUACGGGAGGCAGCAGUAGGGAAUCUUCCGCAAUGGACGAAAGUCUGACGGAGCAACGCCGCGUGAGUGAGGAAGGCCUUCGGAUCGUAAAGCUCUGUUGUGAGGGAAGAACCGGUGCCGUCAAAUAGGGCGGUACCUUGACGGUACCUCACCAGAAAGCCACGGCUAACUACGUGCCAGCAGCCGCGGUAAUACGUAGGUGGCAAGCGUUGUCCGGAAUUAUUGGGCGUAAAGGGCGCGCAGGCGGCUUCUUAAGUCUGAUGUGAAAUCUCGCGGCUCAACCCCGAACGGUCAUUGGAAACUGGGGAGCUUGAGUGCAGAAGAGGAGAGUGGAAUUCCACGUGUAGCGGUGAAAUGCGUAGAGAUGUGGAGGAACACCAGUGGCGAAGGCGACUCUCUGGUCUGUAACUGACGCUGAGGCGCGAAAGCGUGGGGAGCGAACAGGAUUAGAUACCCUGGGUAGUCCACGCCGUAAACGAUGAGUGCUAGUGUUAGGGGGUUUCCAUGCCCCGUAGUGCUGCAGCUAACACAUUAAGCACUCCGCCUGG
This 838-nucleotide ribosomal RNA is filed under the name Streptomyces sp. Its description in RNAcentral is "bacterial SSU rRNA". It matches the Rfam family "Bacterial small subunit ribosomal RNA", at positions 57 to 876 of the family's 1533-position model. Lineage: Bacteria; Bacillati; Actinomycetota; Actinomycetes; Kitasatosporales; Streptomycetaceae. The record is from RNAcentral.